GGGGGCGAAACGGAUUCGACGGGGAUAUGUAAGCUCAGGUUGCAUGCCGAGGUUUCUACCCACCUCGUAAAAUAGGUAGAGCAAAAUAUAGUCGCAGACGACUAUUCUUACGCUGUAGCAGCUUAAUGCUACCGGUCUUUCGGCUUAUUCCUGCGCGGCCGAAAAGAACGUCGACUAGCGGGAUAGCCUACGGUGCGCGCCUGCCGCGCCGAUGGCGAAAUUCAGUAGGAUAGUGCCGAAAGCCUCUUGUUCUGGAGGGGCCAAGGCACGAUAAGCAACCAAACAGAACUAAGCAUGUAGAUAUCGGGAGGGGAGUAUUUUCGGACGCGGGUUCAACUCCCGCCGCCUCCACCA
Molecule: transfer-messenger RNA, 354 nt
Filed under: Thiovibrio frasassiensis
Lineage: Bacteria; Pseudomonadati; Thermodesulfobacteriota; Desulfobulbia; Desulfobulbales; Thiovibrionaceae
Rfam family: transfer-messenger RNA
About the family: Bacterial tmRNA, also known as 10Sa RNA or SsrA, is named for its dual tRNA and mRNA-like properties. Its role is to liberate the mRNA from a stalled ribosome.
Source: Rfam by way of RNAcentral